RNAcentral lists this ribosomal RNA (398 nucleotides) under uncultured bacterium. Its description in RNAcentral is "partial 16S ribosomal RNA". It matches the Rfam family "Bacterial small subunit ribosomal RNA", at positions 523 to 918 of the family's 1533-position model. The record is from RNAcentral.
AUACGUAGGGUGCGAGCGUUGUCCGGAAUUACUGGGCGUAAAGAGCUCGUAGGUGGUUUGUCGCGUCGUCUGUGAAAUUCCGGGGCUUAACUCCGGGCGUGCAGGCGAUACGGGCAUAACUUGAGUACUGUAGGGGAGACUGGAAUUCCUGGUGUAGCGGUGAAAUGCGCAGAUAUCAGGAGGAACACCGGUGGCGAAGGCGGGUCUCUGGGCAGUAACGGACGCUGAGGAGCGAAAGCAUGGGUAGCGAACAGGAUUAGAUCCCCUGGUAGUCCAUGCCGUAAACGGUGGGCGCUAGGUGUAGGGGUCUUCCACGACUUCUGUGCCGUAGCUAACGCAUUAAGCGCCCCGCCUGGGGAGUACGGCCGCAAGGCUAAAACUCAAAGGAAUUGACGGGG